UCCCACAUGCAGUACACCUGGGAAUGGGGAGGGAUCUUUAAAUUUAACUUGCAUAGCAUGAACAGAUUUAUGACAACAAUGGUUAAAAUACCAUUUAGCUGUUGCCACCAGGGCAAUGCAGAAUACUAUGACACUUAAGAUGGUUAGCCACGUAGUUGAAGUGACACCUGGUGACACACGAAUAGUGCAGAUCACAUUAUACCAUUUAUAUGGCUCGGGCACAUUGACAGCCAAACUGAUGAUUCACCCACCCUCUCAGGCAAGGAGAACUAACUGAGUGCUUUGCCA
Long non-coding RNA from Gavialis gangeticus (Gharial), 288 nucleotides. RefSeq lists it as uncharacterized. NCBI's taxonomy places the organism in Eukaryota, Metazoa, Chordata, Crocodylia, Gavialidae. The record is from RefSeq and is a predicted model, not a curated record. The transcript is spliced from 3 exons.